This 69-nucleotide transfer RNA is filed under the name Camelus bactrianus (Bactrian camel). It matches the Rfam family "tRNA". From Rfam's summary of the family: Transfer RNA (tRNA) molecules are approximately 80 nucleotides in length. Their secondary structure includes four short double-helical elements and three loops (D, anti-codon, and T loops). Further hydrogen bonds mediate the characteristic L-shaped molecular structure. tRNAs have two regions of fundamental functional importance: the anti-codon, which is responsible for specific mRNA codon recognition, and the 3' end, to which the tRNAs corresponding amino acid is attached (by aminoacyl-tRNA synthetases). tRNAs cope with the degeneracy of the genetic code in two manners: having more than one tRNA (with a specific anti-codon) for a particular amino acid; and 'wobble' base-pairing, i.e. permitting non-standard base-pairing at the 3rd anti-codon position. The record is from Rfam by way of RNAcentral. RNAcentral also lists the same sequence under 1 other name. Lineage: Eukaryota; Metazoa; Chordata; Mammalia; Artiodactyla; Camelidae.
GGCAUAGCUCAGUGGUAGAGCGCGUGCUUAGCAUGCACAAGGUCCUGGGUUCAAUCCCCAGUACUGCCA